RNAcentral lists this ribosomal RNA (444 nucleotides) under uncultured bacterium. RNAcentral describes it as "partial 16S ribosomal RNA". It matches the Rfam family "Bacterial small subunit ribosomal RNA", at positions 354 to 795 of the family's 1533-position model. The record is from RNAcentral.
GUGAGGAAUAUUGGUCAAUGGACGAGAGUCUGAACCAGCCAAGUCGCGUGAAGGAAGACGGUUCUAUGAAUUGUAAACUUCUUUUGUGCAGGAAUAAAGUGGGUUACGUGUAACCUUUUGUAUGUACUGUACGAAUAAGGAUCGGCUAACUCCGUGCCAGCAGCCGCGGUAAUACGGAGGAUCCGAGCGUUAUCCGGAUUUAUUGGGUUUAAAGGGUGCGUAGGUGGAUUGAUAAGUCAGCGGUGAAAGUUUGCAGCUUAACUGUAAAAUUGCCGUUGAAACUGUCGGUCUUGAGUGCAAAUGAGGUAGGCGGAAUGUGUUGUGUAGCGGUGAAAUGCUUAGAUAUAACACAGAACUCCGAUUGCGAAGGCAGCUUACUGGGAUGCAACUGACACUGAUGCACGAAAGCGUGGGUAUCAAACAGGAUUAGAUACCCCUGUAUCC